UACGUAGGGUGCAAGCGUUGUCCGGAAUUAUUGGGCGUAAAGAGCUCGUAGGCGGUCUGUCGCGUCUGCUGUGAAAACUCAGGGCUUAACCCUGAGCUUGCAGUGGGUACGGGCAGACUAGAGUGCGGUAGGGGAGACUGGAAUUCCUGGUGUAGCGGUGAAAUGCGCAGAUAUCAGGAGGAACACCGGUGGCGAAGGCGGGUCUCUGGGCCGACACUGACGCUGAGGAGCGAAAGCGUGGGGAGCGAACAGG
This 253-nucleotide ribosomal RNA is filed under the name uncultured bacterium. RNAcentral's name for it is "partial 16S ribosomal RNA". It matches the Rfam family "Bacterial small subunit ribosomal RNA", at positions 524 to 776 of the family's 1533-position model. The record is from RNAcentral.